This 487-nucleotide ribosomal RNA is filed under the name uncultured bacterium. RNAcentral describes it as "bacterial SSU rRNA". It matches the Rfam family "Bacterial small subunit ribosomal RNA", at positions 33 to 507 of the family's 1533-position model. The record is from RNAcentral.
GACGACGCUGGCGGCGUGGAUUAGGCAUGCAAGUCGAACGGUAUCAUCCUUUCGGGGGUGAGAGAGUGGCGAACUGGUGAGUAACACGUAGGUUAUCUACCCUCAAGACGGGGACAACCCAGGGAAACUUGGGCUAAUACCGGAUGUGAGCAACUUUUAGUUGUUUGAAAGGUGGCGUAAGCUGUCGCUUGGGGAUGAGCCUGCGUCCUAUUAGUUAGUUGGUGAGGUAACGGCUCACCUAGGCAAUGAUAGGUAGGCGGCCUUAACGGGUGGUCGCCCACACUGGGAUUGAGAUACGGCCCAGACUCCUACGGGAGGCAGCAGUCGAGAAUAGUCUACAAUGGUCGGAAGACUGAUAGUGCGACGCCGCGUGAACGAUGAAUCCCUUCGGGGUGUAAAGUUCUUUUAUAUGUGAGCAGUGCUUCUUAUAUUAACAGUAUGGGGAGAGAGAUAUUAGCAUAUGAAUAAGCAACGGCUAACUACCGUG